GAUGAACGCUGGCGGCAUGCUUAACACAUGCCAGUCGAACGGGAAGUGGUGUUUCCAGUGGCGAACGGGUGAGUAACGCGUAAGAACCUGCCCUUGGGAGGGGAACAACAACUGGAAACGGUUGCUAAUACCCCGUAGGCUGAGGAGCAAAAGGAGAAAUCCGCCCAAGGAGGGGCUCGCGUCUGAUUAGCUAGUUGGUGAGGUAAUAGCUUACCAAGGCGAUGAUCAGUAGCUGGUCCGAGAGGAUGAUCAGCCACACUGGGACUGAGACACGGCCCAGACUCCUACGGGAGGCAGCAGUGGGGAAUUUUCCGCAAUGGGCGAAAGCCUGACGGGGCAAUGCCGCGUGGAGGUGGAAGGCCUACGGGUCGUCAACUUCUUUUCUCGGAGAAGAAACAAUGACGGUAUCUGAGGAAUAAGCAUCGGCUAACUCUGUG
Molecule: ribosomal RNA, 437 nt
Filed under: uncultured bacterium
Lineage: Bacteria
Description: partial 16S ribosomal RNA
Rfam family: Bacterial small subunit ribosomal RNA
Source: RNAcentral